UAAUAAUCGUCCACGGUAUCGGUCCAGUCAACCGCGUGGCUUUCGUGCGUAUAGUUCGACGUUACCGUCGCGCCCGUCGCCACCCUCGUCAUCGUCGCGUAAAGUGACAUGAAACACGUUCGAAAAUCGAAAUCUACACUUUAAUACGUAUAUUUCUGGUGCGAUAUCAGUUACUUUACACAGUCGCCGGGAUACCAUACUAGUGUUUCCGAAUAAUAUUCCGUGGUGAUCAAAAAAAAUAUUUUAUGAAAUAAGUACCUACUUACAGGGACAACUACUACAGUCACCGAACAGAUCUAAAAGAGAAUACAACAAUAACAAACAAAAAAAAAA
Diuraphis noxia (Russian wheat aphid) is the source of this 333-nucleotide long non-coding RNA. Lineage: Eukaryota; Metazoa; Arthropoda; Insecta; Hemiptera; Aphididae. The record is from RefSeq and is a predicted model, not a curated record.